Molecule: long non-coding RNA, 391 nt
Organism: Esox lucius (northern pike)
Lineage: Eukaryota; Metazoa; Chordata; Actinopteri; Esociformes; Esocidae
Exons: 2
Source: RefSeq, a predicted model, not a curated record
AAUCAGGCUGGGUAAUAAUGGUUGAAGUGCUUUUCCUAUUUUCUCCACCAGGAGACUCUGUUUCUAUACACACAUUUAGAAAGAAGCUUCAUCUCAACUGACUGCUCUAAAGAUGUGCACUAGAGUGAACAGGGUGAUGUGGCGACAUGCAAAAGACACUCAUAUCACUGCUCCACCCAGGCAUCAUCAUUAUCUUCAUCAUCAUCUUCACCAUCAUGAACAGAAUUCUUCUCUACCUGGUCAGUCGUUUAGCAGCAAGAUUCAUCAGUCCCCUGUAGCACUAAUAGAGGCACCUACGGAUGGAAAUUAGCCCUUGGCUAUAAUCCGGCAUUUUUACAUGCAUGUACUCCAUGUUUUGUUCAUUAACAUGCACUGUCCCAAUCAAAUAAAA